This 904-nucleotide ribosomal RNA is filed under the name uncultured Pseudomonadota bacterium. Its description in RNAcentral is "bacterial SSU rRNA". It matches the Rfam family "Bacterial small subunit ribosomal RNA", at positions 58 to 936 of the family's 1533-position model. The record is from RNAcentral. Lineage: Bacteria; Pseudomonadati; Pseudomonadota.
CAAGUCGCACGAGAAAGGGGCCUUCGGGUCCUGUGUAAAGUGGCGAACGGGUGAGUAACGCGUAGGUAACCUGUCCUUGAGUGGGGAAUAACCUGGCGAAAGCCGGGCUAAUACCGCAUGAUGUCCAGGCAUCUCUGGAUGUUUUGACCAAAGGUGGCGAGCUUCGAGCGCUGCCGCUCAAGAAGGGGCCUGCGUCCCAUUAGCUAGUUGGUGGGGUAACGGCCCACCAAGGCUACGAUGGGUAGCCGGGCUGAGAGGCUGUCCGGCCACACUGGAACUGAGACACGGUCCAGACUCCUACGGGAGGCAGCAGUGGGGAAUCUUGCGCAAUGGGGGAAACCCUGACGCAGCGACGCCGCGUGGGCGAUGAAGGCCUUCGGGUCGUAAAGCCCUGUCGAGCGGGACGAAAUGUGCGAGCUCUAACAUAGCUCGUGCUUGACGGUACCGCUAGAGGAAGCCCCGGCUAACUCCGUGCCAGCAGCCGCGGUAAUACGGAGGGGGCUAGCGUUAUUCGGAAUUAUUGGGCGUAAAGGGCGUGUAGGCGGCUUCGUGUGUCCCAUGUGAAAGCCCUCGGCUCAACCGGGGAACUGCAUGGGAAACUGCGGAGCUUGAGUCCGGGAGAGGAUAGUGGAAUUCCCAGUGUAGCGGUGAAAUGCGUAGAUAUUGGGAGGAACACCGGUGGCGAAGGCGGCUAUCUGGACCGGUACUGACGCUGAGACGCGAAAGCCAGGGGAGCAAACGGGAUUAGAUACCCCGGUAGUCCUGGCUGUAAACGAUGAGCACUUGGUGUGGCGGGUAUCGACCCCUGCCGUGCCGAAGCUAACGCAUUAAGUGCUCCGCCUGGGGAGUACGGCCGCAAGGCUGAAACUCAAAGGAAUUGACGGGGGCCCGCACAAGCGGUGGA